RNAcentral lists this long non-coding RNA (2403 nucleotides) under Chinchilla lanigera (long-tailed chinchilla). Its description in RNAcentral is "lncRNA (ENSCLAG00000022972.1)". Lineage: Eukaryota; Metazoa; Chordata; Mammalia; Rodentia; Chinchillidae. The record is from RNAcentral.
UGUGACUUCAAGACCAGCCUGGGAUACAAAGUGUGCUCAAGGCCAGCCUGAACUGCACGGCGAGACCCUGUCUCAAAAAGUCAAAAAAGACAGAAAAAAGGAAGCUCAGGUUCUUCUUUCCAUACAAAAGCUGCCUCUUCAGAGCUCAGCAGAGGCUCCCCUAUCAGUCUUCUGAAUUACACCUGAUGAUGAAGCAGACAUCUCAGGAUGAGCAGGCAGAGCCCAGUGACUCUUUAUGAGCUGGCUAAGCAGAGCCUGCUGAAGAGUGACACCAUAGCCAGCACUUCUCUGCAUGACCUGCCCACCAUGAUCUUCCAUGACUUAUUCAUCGAUGCCUUCAUGGGGGAACACAAUGAGGUGAUGAAGGUGAUGGUGCAGGCCUGGCCAUUCCCCUACCUCCCUUUUAGGAGCCUGAUGGAUUUGAGGAAACCAAAGACCCCAUACAUUCAGUAUGGAAAAAUCACACCAGACAUAAAAAACCUAGAGACCCUGGAAGCCCUAUUGGAUGGAAUUGACAUACAGCUGUCCCAGAAGGUUCACCACAACAGGUGGAAGCUGCAGGUGCUGGACUGGAGGGAUGUACACCACGACUUCUGGACUGCAGGGCCCAGAGCCAUGUGUACUGCUCACUCAGCAGAUGCCAGGAAUAAGGAAACAGAAAAGCUUAGUUUAACUGACAAGAAGCCAACCUUGAAAAUAUUUGCAAACCUUUCUUUUGAAGCCUGGAGUUCCUCUUGUGCCACAGAGGACAAAUUACAACUCUGCCUCUUAAACUGGGUCAGAAAGAGAAAAGCUUCAGUACACCUGUACUGUGAGAAGGUGAUGAUUCAAUCCAGUGCUGUCACUACAAUCCUGAAGCUUCUGCAAGCUGUGCAACUGGAAUCUGUCCACGUGCUGGAUGUGUUUAGUGCCUGGAGCCGGGAAAGCAUGAAAGCAUUUGUCCCUUACCUCAAGAAGAUGAAUAACCUUCACACAUUUCAUUUCAGCAGCCUGAGUCCAAAAUUGUUUAGUGAACCCGGGAAAAACAAAUGGUAUUCCAACAUCUAUGCCUUUCAUUUAGGACAGCUGCAAAGUCUCCAGGAGCUUCAUAUAGAUGAUGUCUUUUUCUUGCAUGGAACCCUGCAUAUGAUCUUCAGGAGCCAGACCCCCUUGGAGGUCCUCUCCUUGAGUUCAAGUCCACUGAAGGAAUCUGACCUGAAGCAUCUGUCCCAAUGUGCAAGCACAAGCCAGCUCAAGUCUCUGACUCUGAGGAGGAUUUCAAUGAAACCAUUCAAUCCUGAGAUUCUCCAGGCUCUGAUAGACAAAGUGGCCAGCACCCUGGAGACCCUGGUCCUAGAGCACUGUGACAUCACGGACUCCCAUCUCCUUGCCAUCUUGCCUGCCCUGAGCCGCUGCACUGGGCUCAAGACUUUCAGUUGCUAUGGGAACCACUUUUCCCUGGGUAUUCUUCAGGUCCUGCUGCAUCUAACUGCCGGACUGAGCCAGUUGUCUCAGGGGCUGUACCCUGCCCCACUAGAGAGCUAUGAGUCCAAUAUUCCAACAGAGUUUGUGCACCCUGAGCAGUUUGGGUGUCACACCAAGACCUAUACAGCCAAUUUCCUGGAAGAAGCCCAGGGUUCUGGAAUAUAAUUCCUAGUGCAUGACUCCACCCUUGUCACCAUGCAGACUUGUCACACUCGACUCUUGGACACUGGGAUCCCUGUGCCCAAUAACACUUCUCCCACAGCAGCCCCACUGCUUUGUAGGCUUGGAUGCAAAGUCGUUGGACAAUACAGCCACUACAUGGGAAAAUAAAAUUCCAGUGGUUAAAAUAUUUAGAAUGCACCUAAACCUUUUUUUUUUCAGUGCUGGGGAUGAAACCCAGCAACUUGGGCAAGUGCUCUACCACUAAACAACUACUCAGCCCCCAUUUGUGUUUGCAUUUUGUGAAUGCUAAAUGUGUUUCUGUUCUCUCUUUUGGGACCAGCCUGCGAAGGGACACUGGACAGUGCCUAGGAAUUGGGUCUGGCCAGGCUGGCACCCACAAGCUUUGCAGGGAGAUGAGGGAUUGCAGGAAUACUGAGCGUCCAGAGGAGGAAGAGGCAGUGUAAUCUCUCUUCCAUCAUAUAUAACUGUCCUCCUGCAGUCCAGCCAGCCCGCACCCUCAUGGCUCUGCCACUCAGCCCUGUUCCCUCUCCCUGGGACCCAGCAGAGCGUGGGGCUGAGGUGGCUGGGGAGUGGGCCUGGGCCCCUUUGUACUAUGGAGCUGGACCCUCCACCUCUCUGAGCCCCAUUCUCCACCUUUUAUCCUCCAUCUAGUCCUCUGAAUUUUCCCCCUCUCUCUGUUGAGGCUGUGAGUGGGAAGAAGGAAUUGGACUGACUAGGACUGAAGUCAAGCCCACUUGUUGCCUAUGUGAUUUUGGG